This 11731-nucleotide long non-coding RNA is filed under the name Coffea arabica (coffee). Its description in RNAcentral is "long non-coding RNA (CARA_LNC006019)". Lineage: Eukaryota; Viridiplantae; Streptophyta; Magnoliopsida; Gentianales; Rubiaceae. The record is from RNAcentral.
UGCAAUGUAGUUGGUGCCACCAGCUGCAUUCCAAGGGAUACAAUAUGAGGGUAGAUAGGACCAAUAAGUGUAAGAUAGUCAAAUGACAAACAAAAUGGAAGGCAAUAUGGAUAAAAGACAGAAUACCAAAUUUUUUUUUUUUAGGCUACAGAAUACCAAAUGUUAAAUCCAACAAACUUAUCAGAAGAAAGAACCCAACAAGCUAAGCCUUCAGCCCAAAAUUCCCAAAAACCUCACCUACUCAUGGUGUACGUAGGGGAGCAUAAGCACUAUGCCUAACUCCUACUCCCCCUAUCCCGUCCAAUGGAAUAAUUUAAACAGACUUUCUGGGAGAAUGAACUCGGGGAAAGCAGAGUGUGUCAAUUGGGCAAAUACACCCAUAGUGACAGGGUGGGAUGGAUAUCUCGCAUAUGAAAAUUAGCAGUUUGCCCUGUUAGUCCUCUAGGACACAAAUAAUUCAAUUUUGUCCCAUGAACUAUUUGUGUCCACAGAUUGGUUCCAUCCAAAACUUGAGAUAAUGGGUGUAAACAAAAAAAAAAAAGACUCAUAAAUAGUUGCUCAUGGAGUUGAAGAUAUCAAAUUUUGAGGGGUCGGUAUCAAAUUAUGUUGAAUUGCGUGAUAUAGAGCCAAAUUGCAGUUUAACAUAAAGAAGGAAAAAUAAUCAAACUCAAACCCAUUUCAAAGUUCAACCUUUCUUUUAUUAAUCACAACAUCUAGAAGCAUACGGACUAUGGUUCUAUGACUUAUGCUGGAAUACUUCACUUGAUGGGAAGAUAUAUUAAAAAAAAUACGGCCAAUUAGAUCUUUAAAAAGGGAAAACAAGGGCGAAUUUCUCAAAAUAUUGCUAAAAUUGAAAAUCGUCACAAAAUUGGUGCUGUUUGAUGAAGGGUUCUUAAUUAGGGGUUGCCGCAACUCUGAUGUGAGGCUUCAAGUAAAAAUAAUUUUCAUUUUCAUUUAUUUUGAGUUGCUUCAGUUUCCCUUUUUUUUUUUUAAUUCCUUCAAACCAUAGCCGCUCAUUUGAUUAGCGGCGAAGGUUUUUUUUUUUUUAAAUUUUUUUUUGCAUUGCCGCUCAUCUCAUUUGAUUAACGGCAAAGGUUUUUUUUUUUUUAAUUUUUUUUGCAUCGCUGCUCAUAAGAUGAGCCGCGAUGCAAAAUCUUGUGGUAUAUAUUUCUUUUUUUUUGAGGUAUAUAUUUCAUUUGCCAAAGAGGCCAAACAAAAGAAAGUGCAAAUUCAGGAACAGGAUUUCGAAGGUGACAUCAAACACAUGCAAGUUAAACGCAAAUCAUGCUGUCCCGCACAAUGAUGUGAAAAAAUAAAUGUCAUAUCUAGUUAAUCAUAAAUUUGAUCAGCUUAUGUACUAGAUAAUUAUAGUUAAGUGGACAGAUAAACAAGAAAAAUUUUCUCUAUACAUACGAUAUUUUUUUUUUGCAAAGAUUUUUCUAUUACAUAUAAUGCGUUGUUAGUUAGCUUAUGACUGCAUUUUUAACUUUUAUAUAUCACAUCAGAAAAAGUGUCACCUUUCUGACUGUAUUUUUAUCUUUCAUAUAUCACAUCAGAAAAAGUAUUACAUAUUAAUUUCAAAAAAGGGUUUCUGAAUAAUCUUUUAUCCAAAUUACAAAACCCAUUUAUUGGUAUAUAAAACAAUAGAUUUUUCAAAAGAUUUCUAAGUUAUGACAAAUUCUGCAUUUAACAAUGCAGAUUUCUUUUCAUAUUUAUUUAUUUUUUUAAUCAUGAAGAAUUUUUUGACUAAGUUAAAUUUUCAUAUCAAUCUUUUUUUCAUAUUAAUUUUUUUUUGCAUCGCCGCUCGUGAGAUGAGUGACGAUACCUUUUUUCUCCUUAUUCUUUUUUCUUUUUUUUAAUAAAACAUAACUCUUUUUUUUAAUAAGGAGAAAAAGAAUUACAUUUUAUUAGAAAAAGAAAAAAGAAUAAGGAGAAGAAAAGGUAUCAUGAGCGGCGAUGCAAAAAAAAAAAUUAAUAUGAAAAUUUAACUUAGUCAAAAGAUUCUUCAUGAUUAAAAAUAAAUAAAUUUGAAAAGAAAUCUGCAUUGUUAAAUGCAGAAUUUGUCAUAACUUGGAAAUCUUUUGAAAAAUCUAUUGUUUUAUAUACCGAUAAAUGGGUUUUGUAAUUUGGAUAAAAGAUUAUUCAGAAACCCUUUUUUGAAAUUAAUGUGUAAUACUUUUCUCUGAUGUGAUAUAUGAAAAAUGAAAAUAUAAUCAUAAAGGUGACAUUUUUUCUGAUAUGAUACAUAAAAGAUGAAAAUACAGUCAUAAAGGUAACUAACAACGCAUUUAUAUGUAAUAAAAAAAUCUUUGUAAAAAAAUCUAUUGUAUGUAUAGUGCAAAUCUUUCUUGUUUAUCUAUUCACUUAACUAUAAUUAUCUGGUACAUAAGCUGAUCAAAUUUAUGAUUAACAAGAUAUAGGAUUUAUUUUUUCACAUCAUUUAGUAGGAUCUGAAGAAUAUGAAGUUUUGCUUGACAAAUUCUUCUUACCAUAACCAUCAUUGUGCGGGACAGCACGACUUGCGUUUAACUUGCAAGUGUUUGAUGUCAACUUGGAAGUCUUGUUCCUGAAUUUGUACUUUCUUUUGUUUGACCUCUUUGGCAAAUGAAAUAUAUAUACCUCAAUAAAAAAAAAGAAAUAUAUACCACAAGAAGUGGGCUAAAAGAUUUUAUUAUGACAUUUUACAUCGCUGCGAUGCAAAAAAAUAAAAAAAACCUUCGUCUCUAAUCAAAUGAGCGGCGAUGGUUUGAAGGAAUUUAAGAAAAAAAGAAACUAAAGCAACCAAAAAUAAAUAAAAAUAAAAAUUAUUUUUACUAGAAGCCUUACAUUGGAGUUGCAGCGACCCUUAAUUAAGAACCCUCCAUCAAAUAGCACCAAGUUGUGAAGAUUUUCAAUUUUAGCAAUACUCUGAUAAAUUCCCCGAAAACAAGGGCAGAUGGGAGAUGUGGAAAUUCCACAGUGGAAUGGGGAUGCUGCUGGCAUUGGACAUUACUCGAAUGGAGGGAGGGGAUGUGUAAGGUCCAGAACACUGAAGGACAAAAUUAUCCUUCAACCUAAUCAACCUAUAUAGUAAAAGCGCGAAUGGAUCUGUUAAGGAUGGUGGUUGUUGUGCUGAUGUGGCUGUGUUUUAUUGGCUGGAGGGUGGUCGUUAUUCACGUGAGAGUCACGUGUUUUCGGUAGGAGAAGAGGUGGAAUUCUUGUUGUUGGCCGAGGAGUUUUUAUUAAAUUUGUUUCCAAAUACCGGUCCAUUUCUUUGGCUCUCCAUGUGUGUGUGUCUUCUGAAUACUUUUCUGAUGGGAUCAUGACCACUUCAAUUUACGGGGCUCAAGGUAAUCACUCCAAUCAAUCUAUUCCCACCUUUUCUUCUCUCGUCUUUUGACAAACAGUUAUACUGAGUGAACAAGUUUCCUCAAUUUUAUCCUUUUUUUUUUUGUACUUUAUUGUGUGAUCUUCCAUCCCUCUCUCCGAAACCAAUCAAUUACAAUUUAACACCCACUUCUUCUCAUUUUCGUAAUCUUUUCCGGGUAGCUUCCAGAUCUGCUAGAUUCUCUUGUUAGUUCUUCGUCAUCAAUAAAUAUUAUUGGUGGAUUCUGCUUUCCCUAAAUUUUCCUUUUGCAAUUAACUCUCUCCCAAUGCUUUCACUUUGACUACUAAGAUCAACCCAAAAAAAAUUACGUCAAAUCAUUCUGGAGGGGGAACGAAAAGAAAUUAAGCAUUUGCAUGGUAAUCGAGUGACUUUUAAGGUUAGCUUCCUGUUAUUUUGUAGAUAUUUCUUGGCUGUGAAUUUUUCUUUUUCAUUUUUUAAAUUUUAUGACUAUUAGGUAUCAUUUGGUGAUUAUUUUGUUUUUUGGUUUCUUUUGUGUGCAUUAUGACUGGUAAAGAAAUAGAGGAGUUCACAAAGAGAACUACACGCAGUUGGUUUCUUCAAGUUGUUUAUUGCUUGGUGUGGUUAUACGGUUGUCUUUAAAAGAUUUUUUUUGAGGGUUUUCUUGUCUAACUUUAUAUUUAUUGUGAUAUUGCAGGUUCAGAUAUGGAAAAUCUUUUGCAAUGUGUCUUGCCUACGGUUUUUCAUAUAAAUACUCCAAGAACAUUAUUCUCAUUGCUUAAAGGGUUUGUUCUUUCCUCCCCUGCCUAAACUUCUCUAGCCUUUUUUCCUUUUUGUUCUCCGGUUUAGUUGUCUAAUAUUGCGGCUUGUUGUGUUUUUUUUUUCCUUUGUAGGAUAAUAAGGUUGCUCCAAAUCUUCUCUCUCUGUUUGAUCCUCUUUAGCUCUAGAAGCAAGGAAAUUUGGAGAAUCUAUCUCCAAACUAUCUGGUUCAUUGUUACCUCUUAGUCUUUCUUUCCUUUCUAUAUUUAUUGGUUUUAUUCCCCAAAAAUUUUCACCUGAUUAAUAUCUAAAUUUUGCCUAUAUUGUUCCUUAUUUCUUUAUCCAUGCUUUCUUACAAGACAGAUGCAGCCAAGAGAAGAUCAUCACCGAGAAACAUUGCGGGCAAUUUUGCUUCCUUGUGUUUCGUCCUUCUUCAUCUCAGGUUUUCUCUAUUUUAUUUUUUAAUUUUUUGAACUUUUGUACUCUUUUUUAAGUAGUUUCUAUGUUGCUUGUUUCUUUCUUUUGGGUCUCUAGAGCCCCCUAUACAAACUUGUAUGAUAUUUAUUAUGGAUGGAAAAAUUACUUGGUAGAGAAACUGAAGGAAAAAAUUGUCCGGAAACUCUGGAAAAUGGAGUUUUCAUGGCUCAUCUGAUCGGUUUUUUUUUUUUUUGGUUUGUUAUGUGCAGGAGUACGUUCAAUUAUUGACUCACAAAAGACGAUCCAUAUGGUAACCAACCCAAAGUCUCCAUUUGCAGAGAUCAAAUUUCAUGUCAAUGAUUGUUAAAAACUUUAGUUAUUUUUUUUGUGUCUUUCUUUUUGAGAAAACUAUUUUUCUUAUUUUUUUUCCCUUGUGAAGUUUUGGUUCUUAUUUUUCGAAGGGUGUAUAUGGAUUCUUUAAAACAAAAGAAAAAAAAAUACUUUUGUGUUUUCUUAGUUUUUUUUUUCAACAAACAUUGUGUUUUCUUAGUUGCUGAUAAAAGCACUGAAACUGAUCAAGGAGCCAUUAGUUGAGAUAGUCGUUUUAAUUACUUGUUCCCUGUAUAUUUGUAUAUGCAUGAAGCUUGCCUGGCCUUCUUCUUUUACACGAGUACCUUUUAUUUUAGUUUUACAAGAAUACCAUUUUUUGGUUAAAUUUUUGUUUAUUUUGUCCCUAGAAUAUUGGUUUGAGUUCAUGGGGAUAACAUUUUUAGAAUAUAAAGUGAAUAUAGAGUAAAUAUGGCAGAUUGAGUAUUAGCCUAUUAUUGUAGAGAAAUUUCUUACCAUCUACUGCCAUUUAAGUGGUUUACUACAUGUUUCUUGCUUAUUUAGACUUUACCUUUCGUGAAAAUGAUUUCAAUGUUUAUGGCAAUUAAAAGUUUGGUGUGGUAAUAUGUUGGUCUUUCCAGAUUCUUUAUAUUCCUUGAAAAGGUAAAGAGAAUUUUUUGCAGCUAAAAUAACAAAAAGAUGUUAGGAUUACUUUGCAUUUAGAUCAUAUUUUCUACAGUCAUCUUCUUUUUAUUUUACUUUUGGUUAUGUUAUUAAUUUUUUUAUUCUUUUAUGUUAUUAAUUUACUUUAUUCAUGUUAAAGGUGCAAAUGAUUGAAGAUGCAGUCACUCUGAAACCAGUUCAUGGAAUAACAAACUUUGUGAGUUAAAAAUGCAGUCCUUUCUUAUUUUUUUUUAUCUUGCUUUUGUGUUGAGCAUGGUCAUUAUUAGAUGGUUUAUUCUUAAUUUCAGCCUUUCAAUCCUUCACUAUUUGCAUACCAUUAAUUCAAUGUGUUGGAAUCAUAAAUAUUACUUUGUUUGCUACAGAAGGUUUUUUUAGGUCUCUUAUUUUAUUUAAUUAUCUUUUAUUACAGCAAGAAACGUGAAUAAUUAUUCAAAAUUUACUGAGGAAAAAAAUGUUUAAGUGGGCAAUUUUUUUGUAGGCUUUACUCUUCAUAUAUGUAUUGAUUUGCUCUAUGGUUUUCUGCUCAAAUUUUUGUCAAGAGAGGGAAGAAAGAAGAAAUGAUGGUUAAUUCUUACUUUGAAGCAUUAGGGGGGUAUACGACUACGCGAAACUUAAUACUUACUGAAUUUGUUGUUGACCAUUAUGCUGUUAUUGUAAGAUAUCUUUUAAGAAUUAUUGCCAUCUAAGAGCAUUCAAGAGGUUUACUCUAUAUUUCUUGCUCAUUUAGACUGUCUAUAUUGUUUGGGUAAAAUAGCAUAUGGAUACGUCUGACAUACAGAUUGUCAUGCCUUAGGUAGUGGACAUUUGUGGUGUGCAUCGAAUCACCAUUGCCAAGAUUGCUUAUUUUGUAAAUUAUAACGAUUUGUUUACAUAUUUAAAUUUGUGAAAUUUACUUUACGGGAUAUAUUCCUCAUCUCACCAUUAAAUGGUUAAAUGGAAUCUUUUGAGAGUAAAAAUAGAGCUUCAUGAAAACAAGAAACUAGAUUCGUGCAUAAUUUUGGUGAAAAUGGAACAAUUUGGUUUAAAGGCAAGAUUAAGGAAUCUUUGAUUUUUCUUUGUAUUAGCUUCUCACAAUGGCAACAAAUUUCUAAUGGUCUUGCUUUGAUUAUGUUCAGGUUCCCAUUUUAAACAGCAGGAGAAAUGGGACAAAAAAAAUAUAAGCCAUGAAAAGAAGCAGGGAGGGGGAAAAUAGAUCUUCAUCAGAACAUGUAUACUUUUGUUUUCACUUUUUUUUUGAAAUUUAGGCUGGUUCUAUAAGUAUUUUUUUUGUUUUAUUUUUUCCUUGAUUAGAAGGAGAAGAUGAGAAGAAGCAUAAGCAGAUGAAGAGAAAAGUAUGGAUCUUCAGCCUAAUCAGGUCUAUAAGUUUCUUUUUUAUUUUAAUUUAAGCAGUUUUUGUAAGGUUUUAUUUUAGUUCAAAAUACAUUUUUAUCAGAGUUUUUGAAAUGAAAAUGAGGUGAAGCAGAUGAAGGGAAAGAACAGAUCUUUGGUUUGAUUCAAUGCUGUAAGUUUUUUCUGUUACUUUUUCUUUGUAACUUGAGCAGUUUUCUGAGUUUCUUUCUUUUUUGCCUUUUUUUUUAAUUUCUGACUUUCUAUUAUUGAUUCUGAAGCAAAAAAGAAAGAAGAAAUAAUAAAAUUACAUAGUCCUAAGUGAUUUUUUUUUUGGAAAAAUUUUUGUGUGAGUAGCAUUUAUGGUUGUAGAAUUAGUUAUUAGAAUGAUUGAAAAAUUGGAUUUUGAUUGACUCAUUAUAGAUGGUAAGAGCUUGAAAGUAAAAUUGGAUUUCUACUAUUGCUUUAGUUAGAAUAAUUUCAAAUGUAUUACACUUUGAAUAUGUCUGAAGAUCUAAGUUUUAUUUGAUUGAACUGUUCCACUGAUGAUGCAUUAUCCUGCUGGGUUUAAUUAUUCUUGCUGCUUUUGGUUAAGAUUGUCUUUGUUGCUUUUUCGGUUCUUGAGAUAUUCCUUUUCUUUUGUUUAGAAACAUUAAAUUACCUCUCGUGCACUUGAAGUGUGAAGAUGCAUAUGCGUAAUUUGCAUUAAUAUCAUCAAGAAAUUUUGUCAGAUCUCAUUGCUUUUGGUUUCUCCUGAGGUACAGUCUUGUCCUUUUACUUAUUUAUUUGCUUAUUUUGACUUUCGGACUAUUAUUAUAGGUUGGUAUAAAUUGCUUUGUUUUUUUUUUCCAAAAUUUGAUGUUUCUGAUCAGAAUUAAGUGUUCCAUAGAAAUUCAAACUCCUGUGAUAUUUUCUUUAGGAGUUUUUUGUUCACAUGUUUGGUAAUCUGGUUUAUGAAAUUGCUUCUUGUCUGUAGCUUUUAACUUGGAGUUUCAUCUAUAGAGUUUUUCUAAACCCAUCGUUCACUGCUGGAUAGGUAUUGUCGCGCCCCAUUUUUUGAAAAUAAAGAAAAAUAAAAGACGAGUUUAGAAGAAUGGCUUUUGAUUCAAUUUUUUGAUUGGAAAAUAAAUUUUUGAUUUAAAAAGAAAAUGAAGAACAUGGGUCUAAAUGGGACUUGAAAAUGCGACGAUUUGACCCAAAAUAAUAAUCUAAAAAGGUUUUUAAACAGAAAAGCAGGAGUCGCCACAUAGUAUUGAGUUAGGGUGUACCAAAUCACCCAAAAAGUAAUUUUUUGAAAAAAUGAAGUAAAACCUUUUUAGAUUGACUCCAAAAUCUACAAUAAAUUAGAGAAAAUGGCUCGGGGGUCAUGGUUGAAGAGAGGGAAGGCAAAGACAAUGUCUAAGGCACCCUCUCAACCUAGCAUAAGCUAGUUGUGUGAUUUAGUCACGAUUUUCCUAACUUCUAACCAAAAGAUGUAUCGCAUUUGGACGUGCCUAACAUGAAUGCCAACUUAAAUCUAAUGAUUGAUUCUAAUGGGGCAAAAUGUCUCUUUUGAGGCUCGAUUGAUCCUAAUCACAUGAAUUGUGAUAGCCAAUGGUGAAUCCUUAAAGAAGUCACGAAUAAAUGCAAAUGAAUACUCGAGUAAUAAUGAGAAAAAACGAGAGUGUGCAAAAAUGUCUUUGAGUGUAAAAAAACGAGUGCUAGGUGCAAGUGUGCAAGUAGGUGUGUAAAGUGUAGGUGUGUAAAUGGGUGUGUAAAAGUGCACAUGUUCAAAUGAGAGAGAGUGUAAGGUGUAGGUGUGCAAAUGAGUAAGUAAAAUGUAAAUGUGAGAAUGUGCAAAAGUGAUAAAGUGGAUAAAGUCUCGUGUGCAGAGUGAAAAUGUAUAAAGUGAGAGUGCAAACGGUAAUGUGCCUUGAAAAUGCAUGAGCCCUAAAGGAAUGCAAUCAAAACGGGUACGGGAAACUAAUGUUCGUGACUCAAUUUUCCCUUUAAUAGAGGAAAUACGAGUGUGCUAAGGUUAGAAAGUCAAACUCGUCUAUAUCCCAUACUCAAGGGGUGUUUCCCUAUCUAUACAAGCAAAUGACCCUAAUAACUAGAAUGAAAUGCAAAAUCCUAAAAAUCAUGUUUCAAAUGCGAGAAAGGGAGUGAAGGGCCAUGCAAAAAUGUAAAACUAAAAAGGAAAAAUGAAUAAAGAUGUAAUGAAGUCAUGCAAGUAUGUACUAGCGAGGGACGGUCCUAUUGGGUCUAGCAUUGGACUAGCCCUUUACUAACGUUCCCUUACAAGCAUUGGACUUGUGAGCGAUCAAGGGGAAGACCAUGACUAGCAUUGGACUAGCUACGGUAACGUACAUUCCAUCCACAUAAUCAGGUGUAAUACUAAAGCAAAUAGACAUGCAAAGCACAUAGUUUUACAUAGCACGUAGCACAUAAGCAUGCUUAUCUAGAUGCAGAAACCUAGGAAAAGCAAUUAAACACAUAGGCAGGCAAACACGCAAGCAAAACGAAGCAAGCAAACAAACAAAUGAGCCCUAUCUAUUAUAUUGGGGAAGCCUACUACAGUCUAAGAAGGGAUAAAUAAAAUAAUAACCUAGCUAUUACAACUUUGGCAUUCAAGUGCCUUUCAAAAGAUCAAAAUUGAACUAAAAAUAAAUAUACAAACUAAAGCCAACAAAGAAAAUAAAUGAAAUAAAUAAAUAAGUAAUAAUAAAAACAUUUAAGAGGCAUGCAAUUAAACACGUAAAAUCACAUAGGGCAAGUAGGGUCAAAUAGAGUAAGAAAUAAGGGAUAGAGUGUAUCUCCCUUGAGUCGGGGCUCUAAUGGAGUGAAAUUACUUAUUCAUCCUCUAAAAACAAAGAAAAGGUCAAGGCAUCACAAAUAACCACAUAAAUAUGAAAUUGAACCAUUUAAAGCAUUUAAAUAACUAAAACAGCCCAUAUUCACUAAACAAGGACCCAAUUGGAAAGAAAAGAAAAGUUUGAGGGGUCAAUUUGAUUGAUUUUUCCAAUUGCUUGGGCCAUAGUGGCAUUAGGUGAAAACAUGUGGGAUUGAGUGCAAUUUUGGAAAGUCUUCCAUGCAACAUGCGAAUAAGCUUACUGUCACUAAACUUUCUGCCACUCUUUUUUUGGUUUCUUAAAACCAGUAACACCUAUUUUUAUUAUAAGCGAAGCAACUUUAUGCGCAAAACCAAGUCAUGCUAAUAAGAUUGACAAAUGAAUCUAGACUACAAACCAAAACAUACAGCUUCAACUGGAAUCAAAUUAAACUCUCAACAAUUAGAGUGAAUCAAAUACGAAAGCAAAACAGAAUACAGUUAACAUCAAAACCCCAAGUUCCUUCCAAUUUUCGAUUAAUAACUUUUGCCAUCAAAUGCACUCUUUUACCAAUUUCUGAAAACCAAACAAAAGACAAGGGGGAAGGCUAUGCGACUAUUGCACGAAUGCCAUAACUAAAAUUGAACUGAUAAGAGUUUUUUUUUCCAUAUGCAAACCCACCGAAAUCAACAAGACUAAAUCCCCUGCCCAUCUCCCAAUGCGCAUGGACUACAAAAGAUUUACUUAUUUUUUCAUUUUCAUUCGGACCUUUUAUCAAACAGAAAAUGGGCAUUAAGAACUUCAAUGAUUGUCACUCCCAUGAAGUCACGGCCAGCCCCAACAUUAUCAGAUAAACCAGAAAUUUCAACCCAAUCAACAAACCACAUGCAACCAAUCAUUGAAAUCAUUAUCUUGCUCACAAAACCCAAAUUCUAAAAAAACAGGAUGUUCUUUUCCGUCCAAUCACAAUAACAAGAAAACUCAAAUUUCAGCAUCUUAAACUUCCUAAGAAUAGGGUUAAGCAAGUAAACAUGUCCGCUAUAGGCACAAUCAACCUCAUUAGCUAAACAAAUAUAACCAUUAAAGAAGCCCACAAUUUGUACAAUUUUCGACCAGGUCUGAAAUGGAAUUUUAACUCACCGCACAGGUCAUCAUUCAAGGGGAAUUUUUAGUUGAGCAUUUUGUCUAGCAACAAAAGAGCAUAAAAAUUUUUAAUGAUUCUUUGUUCAAUCAAUGCUGUAACUAGCCCAAAAAUUUGUCAGAAACAAAGAAAUUCAGCCCAAUCAACGUAUGCAUCAUGUGUAUUCAGAAAUUAAGGCCAAUUAAUAGGAAAAUUGCACUAAAUAAUGCCACGGCAGACCCAUUUCAAAAACUUGACAAGAACUGAAAUUUAAAGAGAGGAAAAAAAACUUACAGUGCUCUUGCUUGGCAAGAUUUCGCAGAUAGCAAGGGAAGAUUCUGGUGGGUUCGGUGAGGUGGUGGCGACUAUGAGCGGCGGCGGUUUCGGCAACUCUUCCGAUGAACCUUCCUUACCCUGUUUUUCCGCGGCUUUGCUCCUCUGCUUUUCCUCGACUCUAGUUUCUUGUUGAAACCUUUCUCCUCUAUUUUCUUUUGUUCCCUCAUCCAAGCUUUCUACUGCCCGAAGCUUCUUUUUCAGUCUUUCUUUGUUGCUUUGUUCUUUUAGCCGCCACUUCCAAUCUCCCUUAGCUCCUCUGUCCACCGCCCUCUGUUUUUUCCUCGUUUUUCUUUUUUCUUUCUGUUUUUCUCUCUCCGUUCCUUUUUCCGCCGCCACUCUUCCCUUCUGCGUUCUUUUUGGAGCCUUUUUAUGGGUACUCAAAAAUACCCCAAAACCUAGCACCUAAGGAUGAGAUUUAGAACUGCAUUUUCUGUCCAUUUCAAGCCAUUAGAUGGCUUUUAAUCUGGAAGCUUCUUGUCAAUUGGGAUUGGGCUACGUGGUUUUGUACUGAAGGGUUAAAAGGGAAAUACAAAUGCCCAAAAAUGGGUGGAAAAUGGCAGCUGGAAAUCAGUACUAUUUGCUGGUUUUUGUACCAGCUCCGUGAAGAAGAAGGUGAGCACGUGGUGC